Molecule: ribosomal RNA, 109 nt
Filed under: uncultured bacterium
Lineage: Bacteria
Description: partial 16S ribosomal RNA
Rfam family: Bacterial small subunit ribosomal RNA
Source: RNAcentral
CGUGGAGGAUGAAGGAGCUACGCUUCGUAAACUUCUUUUUUAGGGGAAGAAAACGUCUUUUUUAAGAUUCUGACGGUACCCUAAGAAUAAGCACCGGCUGACUACGUGC